AUUGAACGCUGGCGGCAUGCCUUACACAUGCAAGUCGAACGGCAGCACGGGUGCUUGCACCUGGUGGCGAGUGGCGAACGGGUGAGUAAUACAUCGGAACGUACCUUAUCGUGGGGGAUAACGCAGCGAAAGCUGUGCUAAUACCGCAUACGCCCUGAGGGGGAAAGCGGGGGAUCGAAAGACCUCGCGCGAUUAGAGCGGCCGAUGCCUGAUUAGCUUGUUGGUGGGGUAAAAGCCCACCAAGGCGACGAUCAGUAGCUGGUCUGAGAGGACGAUCAGCCACACUGGGACUGAGCCACGGCCCAGACUCCUACGGGAGGCAGCAGUGGGGAAUGCUGGACAAUGGGGGCAACCCUGAUCCAGCAAUGCCGCGUGAGUGAAGAGGGCCUUCGGGUUGUAAAGCUCUUUUGUCAGGGAAGAAACACCGGCUCUAACACAGUCUGGGAAUGACGGUACCGUAAGAAUAAGCACCGGCUAACUACGUGCCAGCCGCCGCAGUAA
RNAcentral lists this ribosomal RNA (501 nucleotides) under uncultured bacterium. RNAcentral describes it as "partial 16S ribosomal RNA". It matches the Rfam family "Bacterial small subunit ribosomal RNA", at positions 29 to 523 of the family's 1533-position model. The record is from RNAcentral.